RNAcentral lists this ribosomal RNA (253 nucleotides) under uncultured bacterium. RNAcentral's name for it is "partial 16S ribosomal RNA". It matches the Rfam family "Bacterial small subunit ribosomal RNA", at positions 524 to 776 of the family's 1533-position model. The record is from RNAcentral.
UACGCAGGGGGCUAGCGUUGCUCGGAAUCACUGGGCGUAAAGAGCUCGUAGGCGGUCUGUCACGUCGGAUGUGAAAACUCGGGGCUCAACCCCGAGCCUGCAUUCGAUACGGGCAGACUAGAGUUCGGUAGGGGAGACUGGAAUUCCUGGUGUAGCGGUGAAAUGCGCAGAUAUCAGGAGGAACACCGGUGGCGAAGGCGGGUCUCUGGGCCGAUACUGACGCUGAGGAGCGAAAGCGUGGGGAGCGAACAGG